CCCCUUCAAGAUGAGACAUCCCCGAGGCCUCGAGCCUCCUGAAGGGCCCAGCGAGACCAGCUGGUUGAUAGGCCGGGUGUGGAAGCGCUGCAAGGCGUUGAGCUAACCGGUACUAAUGGCCCGUGAGGCUUGACCAUA
Molecule: ribosomal RNA, 138 nt
Filed under: Halomonas daqiaonensis
Lineage: Bacteria; Pseudomonadati; Pseudomonadota; Gammaproteobacteria; Oceanospirillales; Halomonadaceae
Description: 23S rRNA. Bacterial LSU
Rfam family: Bacterial large subunit ribosomal RNA
Source: RNAcentral